Portunus trituberculatus (swimming crab) is the source of this 1140-nucleotide long non-coding RNA. RefSeq lists it as uncharacterized. Lineage: Eukaryota; Metazoa; Arthropoda; Malacostraca; Decapoda; Portunidae. The transcript is spliced from 2 exons. The record is from RefSeq and is a predicted model, not a curated record.
CUGAGAAACACAACGAAAGGAGAGAAGAGAAGCCACUUUACGAGAUGAGAAAUGGAACGGUGCGAGAAAAAUAACAGGAAGAUUUAAGGAAGCGAGGGAAAGGAAGGGAGUGGAGGCGAAAUAUGAAAGAGGGAAGCUGUAAAAAUCCAAGCUCUCUUAGUCCUCUUGGUCCUCUUAGUCCUCGUCCAAUGAAAAGCCUCGCAGUAAAGGAAGCAUUGUUUUGAUUGGCUGCAGGUAAGAAGGUGCCUUUCUCAGAGAUACCAUUUUGAAACUCUCUCUCUCUCUCUCUCUCUCUCUCUCUCUCUCUGACUAUUUUCAAACGCCAGAAAAAUAAUAAGUAGAGUUCUAGAAGAGUGUUUGUUUUCAAUUAAAUAACGCAGUAAUGUUGUUAAUCUAUCAUUACAACCGUGAGAACAUCUUUAAAAAUGUCUUAUUAUAAAUCCGUAUUCUCUCAUCACAGCUAUUUUCCAAAGCCAUAUAGAUGAUAAACCCGGUUCUCUAGUGUUUCUCCUGUAAAUAGUGUGGAAAUACUGUUCACCUGCUACUACAACUGUAAAAACACAGAUAAACUCAUGUGUAAAUUACUGUAAUUUCUUUGAUCAGGACUAUUUUCCAAGGCCAGAUCUUCUAAAAUUUUUCUCCUUGAAGUAGUGUGAAAAUACCGUUCGUCUGUAGAACCGUGAAGAAACACCCUUAGAAUCCCACAUAACUUCAACUGGAGCCUUCGGAAAGUAGCGGAGGUGUGGCGCAGAAGUGUUUCAUAAAAUGGUAUACUGAGUGAGGCAUAAAUGUGAGUCAGUCGUUCUGUUGGUGUUCUUGUGUAGCACGUUCUCUGCGCCGCGUGGUGAUGUUAACGUGUGAUACAGAGAGAGAGAGAGAGAGAGAGAGAGAGAGAGAGAGAGAGAGAGAGAGAGAGAGAGAGAGAGAGAGAGAGAGAGAGAGAGAGAGAGAGAGAGAGAGAGAGAGAGAGAGAGAGAGAGAGAGAGUAUGGAGGGGAACUACCGGGCCUUCACUACUCAGGGAUUUCCACCCAAGAUGUAUUUUUUUCUCAUAUUUUUUUCGUAUUUGUUGUUUCCGAGUUACGAUAUGUCAAAGAGAGAGAGAGAGAGAGAGAGAGAGAGAGAGAGAGAGAGAGAGAGA